UAACAAGGAUUCCCCUAGUAACGGCGAGCGAAGCGGGAAGAGCUCAAAUUUGAAAGCUGGCGUCUUCGGCGUCCGCGUUGUAAUCUCGAGACGUGUUUUCCGUGCGGCUCUAUGGACAAGUCCCUUGGAACAGGGCAUCGUAGAGGGUGAAAAUCCCGUACUUGCCAUGGAAGUACCGUGCUUUGUGAUACACGCUCCAAGAGUCAAGUAGUUUGGGAUUGCUGCUCAAAGUGGGUGGUAGACUCCAUCUAAAGCUAAAUAUCGGGGAGAGACCGAUAGCGAACAAGUACCGUGAGGGAAAGAUGAAGAGCACUUUGGAAAGAGAGUUAAAAGUACGUGAAAUUGUCGAAAGGGAAGCACUUGAAGUCAGCCAUGCUGCUUGAGACUCAGCCUGGCUUUUGCUUGGUGUAUUUCUCGGUAGCAAGCCAGCAUUGGUUUGUGUCGUCGGAGAAGCGUAUGGGGAAUGUGGCAUCCUCGGAUGUGUUAUAGCCCUGUGCAGGAUACGACGACGUAGACCAAGGAACGCAGUGUGCCCUCUGGGCGGGUCUUCGGACACCUUCACACUUAGGAUGCUGGCGUAAUGGCUUUAAGUGGC
RNAcentral lists this ribosomal RNA (595 nucleotides) under uncultured eukaryote. RNAcentral's name for it is "eukaryotic LSU rRNA". It matches the Rfam family "Eukaryotic large subunit ribosomal RNA", at positions 66 to 648 of the family's 3401-position model. The record is from RNAcentral.